This 317-nucleotide ribosomal RNA is filed under the name uncultured Legionella sp. RNAcentral's name for it is "bacterial SSU rRNA". It matches the Rfam family "Bacterial small subunit ribosomal RNA", at positions 511 to 827 of the family's 1533-position model. The record is from RNAcentral. Lineage: Bacteria; Pseudomonadati; Pseudomonadota; Gammaproteobacteria; Legionellales; Legionellaceae.
GCAGCCGCGGUAAUACGGAGGGUGCGAGCGUUAAUCGGAAUUACUGGGCGUAAAGGGUGCGUAGGUGGUUUAAUAAGUUAUCUGUGAAAUCCCUGGGCUCAACCUGGGAAGGUCAGAUAAGACUGUUUGACUCGAGUAUGGGAGAGGGUAGUGGAAUUUCCGGUGUAGCGGUGAAAUGCGUAGAGAUCGGAAGGAACACCAGUGGCGAAGGCGGCUACCUGGCCUAAUACUGACACUGAAGCACGAAAGCGUGGGGAGCAAACAGGAUUAGAUACCCUGGUAGUCCACGCCGUAAACGAUGUCAACUAGCUGUUGGA